AGACCCCUCGACGGUCGGAGUAUGGGUUGCGAUGGAAUCAUGGUAGAUAAACAUGCAGACGACGUCCAGGGGAAUAUGAAAACUGGACAUCGUCUGCAUGUUUAUCUAACAUGAUUCCAUCGCAACCCAUACUCCGACGGUCGAGGGGUCU
This 151-nucleotide microRNA precursor is filed under the name Ectocarpus siliculosus. RNAcentral's name for it is "miR3464 stem-loop (esi-MIR3464)". Lineage: Eukaryota; Phaeophyceae; Ectocarpales; Ectocarpaceae. The record is from miRBase by way of RNAcentral.